GACGAACGCUGGCGGCGCGCUUAACACAUGCAAGUCGAGCGAAGCGGCGGACGGGUGAGUAACACGUGAGUAACCUGCCUUAGACAUUGGGAUAGCCUCGGGAAACCGGGAUUAAUACCAAAUGGUCUAAGAUGGACUCGCGUCCCAUUAGAUAGUUGGUGAGGUAACGGCCCACCAAGGCGACGAUGGGUAGCCGGGAUGUGAGGGUGAGCGGCCACAUUUAAGCUAAGAAACAGUCCAAACUCUACGGGAGGGAGCCGUGGGGAAUAUUGCAAUGUGGAGGGAACUAUGAUGCAGCGAGGGCGCGUAAACAAAGAAAGCUGUCGGGUCGGAAAGUUCUUUUAUAUGGGUCGCGGUACCAUAAGAAAAAGCCCCGGCUAACUACGUGCCAGCAGCCGCGGUAAUAC
RNAcentral lists this ribosomal RNA (407 nucleotides) under uncultured bacterium. RNAcentral describes it as "partial 16S ribosomal RNA". It matches the Rfam family "Bacterial small subunit ribosomal RNA", at positions 28 to 526 of the family's 1533-position model. The record is from RNAcentral.